AGAUGGAAAUCAUGGCCAACUAUUACCUCGAUCAGGGAAUUAAAAGAAUUCAACAAGAUGAACCUGAUUAUCUUGGUUCAAUCGUUGAAAUUGAAAAAUCAAAAACGGUUUUUAACAAUUCAUUAAAAACUUAUGGCAAUGAUACACUGGCCUACUUCGUAUUGGCAAUUGCCGGACAAAAUGCUGAGAAGUAUGACACUGCACUGAAUGCUGCCAGA
RNAcentral lists this unclassified non-coding RNA (218 nucleotides) under uncultured fungus. RNAcentral's name for it is "sequence contains ITS1". The record is from RNAcentral. Lineage: Eukaryota; Fungi.